Molecule: ribosomal RNA, 193 nt
Filed under: Enterobacter sp. ku-bf2
Lineage: Bacteria; Pseudomonadati; Pseudomonadota; Gammaproteobacteria; Enterobacterales; Enterobacteriaceae
Description: partial 23S ribosomal RNA
Rfam family: Bacterial large subunit ribosomal RNA
Source: RNAcentral
GGGUUGUGAGGUUAAGCGACUAAGCGUACACGGUGGAUGCCCUGGCAGUCAGAGGCGAUGAAGGACGUGCUAAUCUGCGAAAAGCGCCGGCGAGGUGAUAUGAACCUUUGACCCGGCGAUGUCCGAAUGGGGAAACCCAGUGUGAUUCGUCACACUAUCGUUAACUGAAUACAUAGGUUAACGAGGCGAACCG